This 274-nucleotide ribosomal RNA is filed under the name uncultured bacterium. Its description in RNAcentral is "partial 16S ribosomal RNA". It matches the Rfam family "Bacterial small subunit ribosomal RNA", at positions 523 to 796 of the family's 1533-position model. The record is from RNAcentral.
AUACGGAGGGUGCAAGCGUUAUUCGGAAUCACUGGGCGUAAAGGACGCGUAGGCGGGUUGGCAAGUCAGAUGUGAAAUCCUACAGCUUAACUGUAGAACUGCAUUUGAAACUGCUAAGCUAGGGUAUGGGAGGGGGAGAUGGAAUUAGUGGUGUAGGGGUAAAAUCCGUAGAUAUCACUAGGAAUACCGAAAGCGAAGGCGAUCUCCUGGAACAUAACUGACGCUAAGGCGUGAAAGCGUGGGGAGCAAACAGGAUUAGAAACCCUAGUAGUCC